UAUAAUGAGAUUUGACUUUGU
This 21-nucleotide non-coding RNA is filed under the name Caenorhabditis elegans. The record is from RNAcentral. Lineage: Eukaryota; Metazoa; Nematoda; Chromadorea; Rhabditida; Rhabditidae.